GCAAUACACUGUAUAAUGGUUAACAUGUACGACUCCUUACACUGUAGCGAGUAUGCAAUAUGCUCCCACAAUGUUGUCCACUCCUCUUAAAUUUCUAUAAGUGCACUGUCUAUGUUUCUUGAGUAACGAAUGCAACAAACGCCCACUUCUCAAUCCCAUGCAAAGCUAAACCUAGCCUGUAUAACCCAGCUUGCCUUACAACAUAAAAAGCUUGAUCAUUAAUGGUAUGUUUAAUCUUCGCAUGUCGAUCUACAAUAGGCACCUAUCUCUUGUUAGCAACCUGACCUAGCUAUGUUUGUUUAGCCUGUUCACUGUCUACUUUAAAAAUGUGCAGAAUUAUCGCAUGCUAUGUACAGAAUCAACUGUUUGUAUUACCAGGCUUG
Non-coding RNA from Pelobates cultripes (western spadefoot toad), 383 nucleotides. NCBI's taxonomy places the organism in Eukaryota, Metazoa, Chordata, Amphibia, Anura, Pelobatidae. The record is from the annotation of a GenBank genome assembly.